GACGAACGCUGGCGGCGUGCUUAACACAUGCAAGUCGAACGGAAAGGCCCUGCUUGCAGGGUACUCGAGUUGCGAACGGGUGAGUAACACGUGGGUGAUCUGCCCUGCACUUCGGGUUAAGCCUGGGAAACUGGGUCUAAUACCGGAUAGGAGCCAUAUUUAGUGUGAUGGUUGGAAAGUUUUUUCGGUUUAGGAUGAGCUCGCGGCCUAUCGGCUUGUUGGUGUGGUAAUGGCCUACCAAGGCGGCGACGGGUAGCCGGCCUGAGAGGGUGGACGGCCACAUUGGGACUGAGAGAAGGCACAGACUCCGACGGGAGGCAGCAGUGCGGAAUAUUGCACGAUGGGCGCCAGCCGGAUGCAGCGACGCCGCGUGGGGGAUGACGGCCUUCGGGUUGUAAACUCCUUGCGCUAGGGACGAAGCUUUUUGUGACGGUACCUAGAUAAGAAGCACCGGCUAACUACGUG
RNAcentral lists this ribosomal RNA (465 nucleotides) under uncultured bacterium. Its description in RNAcentral is "partial 16S ribosomal RNA". It matches the Rfam family "Bacterial small subunit ribosomal RNA", at positions 28 to 507 of the family's 1533-position model. The record is from RNAcentral.